RNAcentral lists this transfer RNA (31 nucleotides) under Chrysanthemum indicum. RNAcentral's name for it is "partial tRNA-Phe". The record is from RNAcentral. Lineage: Eukaryota; Viridiplantae; Streptophyta; Magnoliopsida; Asterales; Asteraceae.
UUGGGAUAGCUCAGUGUAGAGCAGAGUUAAG